CCUACGGGAGGCAGCAGUGAGGAAUAUUGGUCAAUGGACGAGAGUCUGAACCAGCCAAGUAGCGUGAAGGAUGACUGCCCUAUGGGUUGUAAACUUCUUUUAUAAGGGAAUAAAGUGUUCCACGUGUGGGUUUUUGUAUGUACCAUAUGAAUAAGGAUCGGCUAACUCCGUGCCAGCAGCCGCGGUAAUACGGAGGAUCCGAGCGUUAUCCGGAUUUAUUGGGUUUAAAGGGAGCGUAGGUGGAUUGUUAAGUCAGUUGUGAAAGUUUGCGGCUCAACCGUAAAAUUGCAUUUGAAACUGGCAGUCUUGAGUACAGUAGAGGUGGGCGGAAUUCGUGGUGUAGCGGUGAAAUGCUUAGAUAUCACGAAGAACUCCGAGUGCGAAGGCAGCUCACUGGACUGCAACUGACAUUGAGGCUCGAAAGUGUGGGUAUCAAACAGGAUUAGAUACCCCUGUAGUC
This 460-nucleotide ribosomal RNA is filed under the name uncultured bacterium. Its description in RNAcentral is "partial 16S ribosomal RNA". It matches the Rfam family "Bacterial small subunit ribosomal RNA", at positions 338 to 795 of the family's 1533-position model. The record is from RNAcentral.